AAGUCGUAACAAGGUUUCCGUAGGUGAACCUGCGGAAGGAUCAUUAACACGUAUCCAACGUUAAACCCCCUGUGAAUUUUAAGUCCUGCUCCGGAAUCUUUUCAACAGCAAUCCCAGUAAAUCAUUGUUGAACAGUUUUGAUUUGGGACCUCUGUUGAGGAGUGAACGUUGAGACGGUUGAGAUAGGGGCAUGGCUUCCCGAAUCAAUCAUCAAAUGAAAGCGUUGGUGAUUGUGUAAGGAUAACGCUUUUCGAUCACUAGAGGCCGAACACCGGCCGGUGACCAGGUCGCCGUGGCUUCGGCCCCCUAUAUUAACCCCACUACCUGAACUCGCCUCGUAGGAAACUGCUGGGCAACAAAACGAACAACUGUUAACAAUGGAUAUCUUGGUUCUC
RNAcentral lists this unclassified non-coding RNA (395 nucleotides) under fungal sp. RNAcentral's name for it is "partial internal transcribed spacer region". The stretch from base 1 to 46 matches the Rfam family "Eukaryotic small subunit ribosomal RNA", at positions 1786 to 1831 of the family's 1831-position model. The record is from RNAcentral. Lineage: Eukaryota; Fungi.